CCGGAAUGUGCCGGAAGGUGAAAGGCUUGCUGCCUGUAGAUGAGCUCGCGUCUGAUUAGCUAGUAGGUGGGGUAAGAGCCUACCUAGGCGACGAUCAGUAGCUGGUCUGAGAGGACGAUCAGCCACACUGGGACUGAGACACGGCCCAGACUCCUACGGGAGGCAGCAGUGGGGAAUUUUCCGCAAUGGGCGAAAGCCU
This 199-nucleotide ribosomal RNA is filed under the name cyanobiont ZPJD 2B of Zamia pumila. RNAcentral describes it as "partial 16S ribosomal RNA". It matches the Rfam family "Bacterial small subunit ribosomal RNA", at positions 183 to 384 of the family's 1533-position model. The record is from RNAcentral. Lineage: Bacteria; Bacillati; Cyanobacteriota.